This 65-nucleotide transfer RNA is filed under the name Branchinella kugenumaensis. Its description in RNAcentral is "tRNA-Val". Lineage: Eukaryota; Metazoa; Arthropoda; Branchiopoda; Anostraca; Thamnocephalidae. The record is from RNAcentral.
AAAAGAGGAGUUUGAAUAAACAUUUUACUUACACUAAAAAAAUUCUAUUAGUUUAGGCUCUUUUA